CGACUUGCCCCUGACCCCCGCGUGCCCUGGAGCGCUGCCCGGCGCCCUCGCGAGUCAGCGGAGGCCACGGAAGCCACCGGACGCUCCGGCCCCCAGGGUGUCAACCGCGUUGCGUAACCCGGCGGGCGAAAGCCGAGGCUGUGCGCUGCCGAUAAAAGCUCCGGCAGUUCGCUUUGGGUCCUCCAGCGCUCCCCGUGCUUCCCACCUGGUUCCCACGAGUAUCCCGAGAGUCACCAAUUCCCCCGCUCAUUUCACAGAUAAGCUCAAGCACCGUUUUUUAUCUUCACUCGGAGGCACUGGUUGCCUCUACAAUAAAACCAUGACGGCUCCACAGCUACAAUUGCGAACUGUAGGCCUCUAUCGGCAAACUCAGCGCUACCAGCAGCCCUGCUUCUGGGACGCGAUUCUCUGAUACGGGGAACAACUCUGGCAAAGCAGCUCUGAACAAAGGAAGCCCAGUCUUAGUUCUUCCAAAAGAUCCAUUCCUGGAAAGUUCAGUAUAUUAAAACCAUGCAAAAUGCUUAGUGUUUAUAAUUAUCUGAGCCUAGAAUCUAAUUUUUUUUAACUCCCCCCAAAGUUGAUUUUCAUAUGCUUGAGUGCUGGGACAGAGUAGGGGACCCCAGAAAGCAUGCAGGACUUAAAAAAAAAAAAAAAAAAAAACCCUUGCCAUCGAGUCAUAUUCCAACUCGGUGAAUAGUUGUAUGGGACCGUCCACACAGCACAGGAUGUCAGCAACCCUGGUUUCCACCAUCUAAAUGCCAACAGACUGUGUUCUAAUCGUCUGACAAAUAAAAACUCCCCCAUGUUUCUAAAAUGUCCUGCCCCACCUUCCAGUCCCACCACCUCCCCAGCCCAGCUAAGAGACCCUGGUUUAGAUGAGAAGGAUACAAGCAGGGUGGUUUGAGAUUGGUGGCUGGGGAAUCAGACUCAGAGUGAAGGAACAUGUCCUGAGAAGAUCCCAUAUGCUGAGGGCUUCUACCUGUCCUCAUUCCAUUAUCUCACCUAAGACCCCUCCUUCCACUGCAACAAAGAACACUUGAGAGUAGCUAAAGGCAUAAAAGGUAGAACAGGGUAGUCACUUGCCCACCAGACAGUGAGAAAGGGGACUGGAAUUUUACUCACUCAUUCAAGCUUUCACUCUUCUGGCUAAUGAAUAUUCCGAGUCCCUAAGCAAGAUGGUACAGUAGUGAAAAUACUCCACCCUAGAGCAACAAAGUGUUCUCCUAUUUCGACUCAUGGCAAUCCGCUGUUUUACAGAAUAGAACUGUUCCACAGUUUUCUUGGUUUAAUCUUUAGGGAAGCAGAUCGCCAGGCUUUUCUUCUGUGGCAUCAUUGGGUGGGUGUGAGCCACCAACCUUUAGGUUAGUAGUCAAGUACAAACCACUUGCACCAACCAGAGACAACAGAUAGACAGUAGAAUGCUAUAGAGCGCAGGUGUGGCUCUGGCCAACUUACUCUCUCCAGUGGGAUCUUCUAGGACAUAAGAAAAAUGCUAGUUCUGAAAUCAAGUCUUUCUGGUAAGUUUAGUCCCAAACUCACCUUUGGGCAAUUCUUUUUGCCUGGAUUUCCUCAUCUAUAAAAUAGAGAUAAAAUCUAUCCUCCUGUCUCAAGUGUAUACCCAUUGCCAUUGAGUCUACUCCAAUUCAUGGAACUCCCAAAUAUGGUUUCCAAGGCUAUAAUCUUUACAGGCAUUUUUGCUUUUUAACACUUUAAAGAGAUCUUUUGCAGCAGGUUUGCCCAAUGCAAUAGGUCAUUUGAUUUCUUGACUGCUGCUUCCAUGGACAUUCAUUGUGGAUUCAAGUAAAAUGAAAUCCUUGACAACUUCAAUCUUUUCUCCAUUUAUCAUGAUGUUGCUUAUUGAUCCCGUUGUUAGGAUUUUUGUUUUAUGUUGAGGUGUAAUCCAUACUGAAGGCUAUAGUCUUUGGUCUUCAUCAGUAAGUGCUUCAAGUCCUCUUCACUUUCUGCAAGCAAGGUUACGUCAUCUGCAUAACGCGAGUUGUUAAUGAGUCUUCCUCCAAUCCUGAUGCCCUGUUCUUCUUCAUAUAGUCCAGCUUCUCCGAUUAACUAUGCAGCAUACAGAUUGAAUAGGUAUGGUGAAAGGAUACAACCCUGAUGCACACCUUUCCUGAUUUUAAACCACAAAAGUAUCCCCCCGUUCUGUUCAAAUGACAAGUUCCACAUGAGCACAAUUUAAGUGUUCUGGAAUUCCCAUUCUUCCCAAUGUUAUCCAUAAUUUGUUAUAUGAUCCGCACAGUCAAAUGCCUUCCCAGAGUCAAUAAAACACAGGUAAACGUCUUUCUGGUAGUCUCUGCUUUCAGCCAAGAUCCAUCUGACAUCAGCAGUGAUAUCCCUGGUUCCACAUUCUCUUCUGAAUCAGGCUUGAAUUUCUGGCAGUUCCCUGUCGAUGUACUGCUGCAACCAUUUUUGAAUUAUCUUCAGAAAAAUUUUACUUGUGUGUCAUAUUAAGGAUAUUGCUCGAUAAUUUCCACAUUCUGUUGGAUUACCUUUCUCCAGAAUGGGCACAAAUGCUAAUCUCUUCUAGUCAGUUGACCUGGUCACUGUCUUCCAAAUUGCUUGGCAUAGACAAGUGAGUGCUAUUCUAUGCCAGAUAUGGGACCGAUCACUUUAGAUGUAUUAACUGAUUUAAUGACAAUUAGAUAAGUUAAUACAUACAAAGUGAAUGCUGCCAUACCUGGCACAGAAGAAUUACCUGGUAAACAGGUGGUAGGUGCUAGUAUUAUUUUAUUGCUGUUGUUGUUAAGAAAUGCUCACUCAGAUGUGGUACCAGGUGCUGAGGAGAAUGAAGUUAAAACAUCCCUCCUUUAAGACAAAGGGAACAGUAUGAAUAUCAGGCCCAGGGCAAGAAAAAGAAGACGGUUUCUCAAAGAUGGGAAUUACGUGCGCUGUGGAAAAGCUGUUUACAGGGUAGGCAGAUGGCAAAGCGCCUGUUUAAAUAUAACUCUGAACCUGGGAGGGAAGCAAUGUCCACAAAAGAUGAAGCCAAAAGUGAAGGAGACUCCGGUCUCUCCUUCAAAACAAAUGAAUGCAGGUGGCUGUUCCUUCUGCCUCAGGAGUACCACCUCGCGGAAGACGGGCCUGGUGAUCUGCGUUGUUCCUUCUGCCUCAGGAGUACCACCUCGCGGAAGACGGGCCUGGUGAUCUGCGUUGUUCCUUCUGCCUCAGGAGUACCACCUCGCGGAAGACGGGCCUGGUGAUCUGCGUUGUUCCUUCUGCCUCAGGAGAACCACCUCGCGGAAGACGGGCCUGGUGAUCUGCUGCCAUUAAGGUUACAGCCAAGAAAACCCCAUGGUGCAGUUCUGCUCUAACACACGGGUCACCAUGAGUUGACACUGAUUCAAUGGCAAGGUGCUUUUUUUUUUCAAGGAACCACUCAGUUGAACACAACACACUUGUAUGGGGUAAAAGACACAGUGCUAAACCCUUAGGACAAAAAGAUGAAGAAUAUACGGUUCCUGCCCUCAAUGGGGAUAUCAUUGCUGAGGUCAGAUGGAUCCUGGCCGAAAGCAGAGAAUACCAGAAAGAUGUUUACCUGUUUUAUUGACUAUGCAAGGGCAUUCGACUGUGUGGGUCAUAACAAAUUAUGGAUAACAUUGUGAAGAAUGGGAAUUCCAGGACACUUAAUUGUGCUAAUGAGGAACCUGUACAUAGAUCAAGAGGCAGUUGUUCAGACAGAACACGGGAAUAUUGUACGGUUUAAUGUCAGGAAAUGUGUGCGUCUGGGUUGUAUCCUUUCACUAUACCUAUUCAAUCUGUAAGCUGAGCAAAUAAUCCAAGAAGCUGGACUAUAUGAAGAAAAACGGGGCAUCAGGAUUGGAAGAAGACUCAUUAACAACCUGCGUUAUGCAGGUGACACAACCUUGCUUACUGAAAGUGAAGAGGAUUUGAAACACUGGUGAAGAUCAAAGACUACAGCCUUCAGUGUGGGUUACACCUCAACAUGAAGAAAACAAAAAUCCUCGCAACUGGACCAAUAAACAACAUCAUGAAAAACAGAGAUAAGACUGAAGUCGUCAAGGAUUUCAUGCUACUCAGAUCCACAGUCAACACCGAUGGAAGCAGCAGUUAAGAAAUCAAAAGAUGCGUUGCACUGGGCAGAUCUGCUACUAAAGACCUGUUUAAAGUGUUGAAAAGCAAAGACGUCACCUUGAAGACCAAGGUGCACCUGACUCAAGCCAUGGUGUUUUCAAUCGCCUCUUAUCCGUGAGGAAGCUAGAUGAUAAAUAAGGAAGACAGAGGCAGAAUUGACACCUCUGAAUUGUGGUGUUGGCGAAGAAUACUGAAUAUACCAUGGACUGCCAAAAGAACAAACAAAUCUCUCUUGGGAGAAAUACAACCAGAAUGCUUGUUACAAGUAUGAACUGUGAGACCACCUCUCACAUACUUUGGACACGUUAGCAGGAGGGACCAGUCCCUGGAGAAGGAGAUCACGCUUGGUAAGGUAGAGGGUCAGCAAAAAAGAGGAAGACCCUCAAUGAGAUGGACUGACACAGUGACUGCAACAAUGGGCUCAAGCAUAACAACGAUUGUGAGGACGGCACCGGACAGGGCAGUGUUUUGUUCUGUUGAACACAGGGUCACUAUGAGUCAGAACUGACUCAAUGGCACCUAACAACAACAAAAACAAUACACCCAAAUGAGGAAUAUACUGCCUACAAAAUCCAAAGAGCCCACUAGGCACUGUGCGUCCUUUUCAGUUGCGGGAGAAGCCAGAUGCAGUAACUUAUCCUUGACUUUAGAAGGAAUAUCUCGACAUGUCCCACACCACUGGACGCCUAGAAAUUUCACUGAGGUGGAAGGUGCCUGGAUGUUUGUGGGAAUAAUUUUCCACCCUCUAGCAUGCAAAUGUUUUACCAUUAAGUGCACAGUCAUUAACAUUUCUUCCUUACUAGGUCCAAUCAGCAUAAUGUCUUCAAUGUAACAGACCAUGCGAUGUCUUGUAGAAGGAAAGGUGAUCAAGAUUCCUGUGGACUAAAUUAUGACAUGGGGCUGGAAAGCUGAGGUAGCGCUGAGGUAGGCAACUGAAGGUGUAUUAUUGGCCUUAUCGGCUGAAGGAAAACUAAUUCUGAUGGUCUUUGGAAACAGGUAUGGAGACACCAGCAAUGAUAUCCCUGGUUCCAUGUCCUUUUCUGAAUCCAGCCAGAAUUUCUGGCAGUUCCCUGUGGAUAUACUGCUGCAACUGUUUUGAAUGAUCUUCAGCAAAAUUUUACUUGUAUGUAAUAUUAAUGAUAGUGUUCAAUCAUUUCUACAUUCGGUUGGAUCACCUUUCUUUGGAAUAGGCAUAAAUAUGGAUCUCUUCCAGUCUAGGUGGCUGUCUUCCAAAUUUCUUGGCAUAGACAAGUGAGCACUUUCAGCGCUGCAUGUGUUUGUUGAAACAUCUCAACUGGUAUUCUGUCAAUUCCUGGAGCCUUGUUUUUCACCAAUGCCUUCAGUGUAGCCUGGACAUCUUCCUCCAGUGCUGUAAUGGAUUGAAUUGUGUCCCCCAAAAAUGUCUGUCAAUUUGCUAGGUCAUGAUUCCCUUAUAUGAUUGUCUACCAUUUUAUCUUCUGAUGUGAUUUCCUUAUGUGUUGAAAAUCCUAACACUAUGAUGUAAUAAGGUGGAUUAAUGGCAGUUAUACUGAUGAGGUUUACAAGAUUAGGUAGUGUCUUAAGCCAAUCUCUUUUGAGAUGUAAAACAGAGAAGCAAGCAGAGAGACAUGGGGACCCCAUACCACCAUGAAAGCAGUGCAGGGAGCAGAGUACAUCCUUUGGACCUGAGGUUCCUGUGCUGAGAUGCUCCCAGACUAUGGAAAGACAGAUGACAAGGACCUUCCUCCAGAGCUGACAGAGAGAGAAAGCCUUGCCCUAAAGCUGGCACCCUUAAUUUGGACUUCUAGCCUACUAGACUGUGAGCGAAUAAACUUCUCUUUGUUAAGGCCAUCCACUUGUGGUACUUCUGUUAUAGCAGCACUAGAUGACUAAGACAAGUACCAUCGGUUCAUGAUCAUAUGCUACCUCCUGAAAUGGUUGAACGUUGACCAGCUCCUUUUGCUUGAGAAAUCCCGACCACGUUUA
Molecule: long non-coding RNA, 6072 nt
Organism: Loxodonta africana (African savanna elephant)
Lineage: Eukaryota; Metazoa; Chordata; Mammalia; Proboscidea; Elephantidae
Exons: 2
Source: RefSeq, a predicted model, not a curated record